Molecule: ribosomal RNA, 1444 nt
Filed under: uncultured organism
Description: SSU rRNA
Rfam family: Bacterial small subunit ribosomal RNA
Source: RNAcentral
UGGCUCAGGAUGAACGCUAGCUACAGGCUUAACACAUGCAAGUCGAGGGGCAUCAGGAAGAAAGCUUGCUUUCUUUGCUGGCGACCGGCGCACGGGUGAGUAACACGUAUCCAACCUGCCCUUUACUCGGGGAUAGCCUUUCGAAAGAAAGAUUAAUACCCGAUAGCAUAAUGAUUCCGCAUGGUUUCAUUAUUAAAGGAUUCCGGUAAAGGAUGGGGAUGCGUUCCAUUAGGUUGUUGGUGAGGUAACGGCCCACCAAGCCUUCGAUGGGUAGGGGUUCUGAGAGGAAGGUCCCCCACAUUGGAACUGAGACACGGUCCAAACUCCUACGGGAGGCAGCAGUGAGGAAUAUUGGUCAAUGGGCGCUAGCCUGAACCAGCCAAGUAGCGUGAAGGAUGAAGGCUCUAUGGGUCGUAAACUUCUUUUAUAUAAGAAUAAAGUGCAGUAUGUAUACUGUUUUGUAUGUAUUAUAUGAAUAAGGAUCGGCUAACUCCGUGCCAGCAGCCGCGGUAAUACGGAGGAUCCAAGCGUUAUCCGGAUUUAUUGGGUUUAAAGGGAGCGUAGGUGGACUGGUAAGUCAGUUGUGAAAGUUUGCGGCUCAACCGUAAAAUUGCAGUUGAUACUGUCAGUCUUGAGUACAGUAGAGGUGGGCGGAAUUCGUGGUGUAGCGGUGAAAUGCUUAGAUAUCACGAAGAACUCCGAUUGCGAAGGCAGCUCACUGGACUGCAACUGACACUGAUGCUCGAAAGUGUGGGUAUCAAACAGGAUUAGAUACCCUGGUAGUCCACACAGUAAACGAUGAAUACUCGCUGUUUGCGAUAUACAGUAAGCGGCCAAGCGAAAGCAUUAAGUAUUCCACCUGGGGAGUACGCCGGCAACGGUGAAACUCAAAGGAAUUGACGGGGGCCCGCACAAGCGGAGGAACAUGUGGUUUAAUUCGAUGAUACGCGAGGAACCUUACCCGGGCUUAAAUUGCAGUGGAAUGAUGUGGAAACAUGUCAGUGAGCAAUCACCGCUGUGAAGGUGCUGCAUGGUUGUCGUCAGCUCGUGCCGUGAGGUGUCGGCUUAAGUGCCAUAACGAGCGCAACCCUUAUCUUUAGUUACUAACAGGUUAUGCUGAGGACUCUAGAGAGACUGCCGUCGUAAGAUGUGAGGAAGGUGGGGAUGACGUCAAAUCAGCACGGCCCUUACGUCCGGGGCUACACACGUGUUACAAUGGGGGGUACAGAAGGCAGCUAGCGGGUGACCGUAUGCUAAUCCCAAAAUCCUCUCUCAGUUCGGAUCGAAGUCUGCAACCCGACUUCGUGAAGCUGGAUUCGCUAGUAAUCGCGCAUCAGCCACGGCGCGGUGAAUACGUUCCCGGGCCUUGUACACACCGCCCGUCAAGCCAUGGGAGCCGGGGGUACCUGAAGUACGUAACCGCAAGGAUCGUCCUAGGGUAAAA